RNAcentral lists this long non-coding RNA (2141 nucleotides) under Nicotiana benthamiana. Its description in RNAcentral is "long non-coding RNA (NBEN_LNC039307)". Lineage: Eukaryota; Viridiplantae; Streptophyta; Magnoliopsida; Solanales; Solanaceae. The record is from RNAcentral.
UUUGAGGGCCAUAAAUUAUAACUCGUCUAAUAUGAUACACCUCAAAAGUAUUGAAGGACCUAGUUAAUUGAUAAAAAAAUAAAAGAACCAAAAGAAUAUCUAAUGUAGUUUAAGCAAAUGUUCAAGCCCCAACUUUAAUAGCUAAUGAACUCGCAAUGCGCAAAACCCACACUUGGAUUGUUGAAGGAAUUCAGGCUGACUAGGGGUGGGCCCAAUGGCUGAUUGCGAAUUAUGUGAACAAAAACAUGAGAACGUAAUAGGGCUUAGCAUAUAGCCCAGAUAGGGAAUAUGCCUGCCGAGAAAAAGGGAUUCCGCACAUCUGGGCCAACGACAUUAAGCCCAAGCAGCAUGUGAUGAAACAAUCUUAUUCUCAAAUGACACUAAAUUCACCCAAAUAAUAAGCAGGAAUCUUAUGAGAAUAACCUGCCGACUACUUUAAAUCUUUAAACACAUAGCCUUCCACAGAAUUGGAUAAAAGACCAAAGCUCAGCUAUUUCAUACUAUAUCCGCAACAUAAUUAAGCUAAUAGAAUUCACAUAUAGUUAAAUGAUUACAAGAAAAUGACUAGGAUGGAGAAACAGGGAAAAAUAAUUAUUCAAUAACUCGAACUGUUAUCAUUAUGCGUCCAGAUUCACAUUUUGCAUAUUACAACUCCAAAAGUUAACCAUGGUUUGAGUAAUAGCUGAAUGUAAUAGAAAAACAAAGAGAAAUGAGGAGUUAGCAUCAGAAUCAGCCCAUCAUCAGCAAUAAAACAGUAUGAAAUCAGUAGAGCAAGCUUCAAAUUCCCAACCCAAUUCUAAACUUCUAAAACCCAGAUUGAAUGGUUAUAUUGAACUCUUGAAAUUCUGAUUUAUCAAAGGAAUUAUAACUCAAAAACCAAGCAAAUUUCAAGCAAUUUUUAGUGCUUUUUACUUGAGAGAAAUACCCAGUCAUUUUUCAAUUUUUUUUGUGUUUUUCUAUAUCGAAAAUAUAACUUGCUAAAGAAGAAAGUAUUCCUUUAUAGGCAAGCAUUAGGGAAGCAGAAAAAUGAAUUCAGCUUUUCACUUUAAUCCUUUUUGGAAUUUUUAUUUUUGCUCUCAUGUUCUUGGUUUAAAGUCAAUUUUUCCGAGUUAGUCCAAAUCCCACCUUCUAGGCAGCUUUUUAAGUUAGUUACAAGAUAUUCCCUAACCUAAAAUUCCUAAUGCAACCCUUAAAGCCUUGAAAAUUACUUCUGAAACCUCAUGGGUCAAGUUGACCCGUUAAAAUAAAACCAAAUGAAUGGGUUGUACUUGACAAUGGGGCAACAAUGACCUCGAAGCUCAAACUAAAUUCUGUAAUCUAUGGAAGGAAGAAGAAAACGAAAAGUCCAUUUAGAUGAUUUCAAAACUAAAAUUUAAACAAAAUGACUAAUUACUAAUCACAAGUGAGCAUGGAACUAACUAGGUUAACCAAUCGAAAUAAACCUAAUUAAACUAAACUCUGAGACUAAAAUAAACGGGGAAAAUCAGAAAUUUAAGCAUGCCACUAAUAAAAUCUAAACAUGCCGAAUGCACAUAACAAACAAAACUAACGAAAUUUUUAAAAGCAAACUGGAAAAACGCACGGGAUAAAUACAACUACCAAAACAAACAAGGAAACUUAGAUUCAGAUGUUAACAAUUUCAUCAAAUUCAUUAGAAGAAAUUAAACUAAAAAAAUAAAAGAAAGAGGGAGGAGCAGAUGUGAAACCGACGAAGAUGGAUAUAAAAAAAAUGAAUUAAAACUCACUUAUUAAAGUCGAAAUAAACUAGAUACAUUCUGAUUAACCCAAAAUAAUAUCAAUCACUUGUUCUUUGUCAAGAACAAGCGAACAUCAUUAUUUUGUGAUAAACCAUCCUUGAACACUCAAAACUCGGAGUAAUAGCCUUGCAUGCAUAGAUCUGAGAGUAGGCAUUUUAGGCUUUUAGGGGUUCGAACUCAUAUCCAAGAUUCGACGAGUUUCAGAAAGAUUCAAGGGAAACCAAUUAGAGAUUGGGAGAGAGGGAGCCACGACGAAUUCAUGGUGUUGAUUGGGACGAUUUGGGGGUGGUGCCGCCAUCAGAGAGGGUACGGAUUUUGGGAAGGGGGAUUAGGGUUAGGCUUUCUCUAAAGAGGGAGGUGAAGAGUGCUAAUGUAAUAGGAAGG